UAAGGAAUAUUGGACAAUGGAGGCAACUCUGAUCCAGCCAUGCCGCGUGAAGGAAUAAGGCCCUAUGGGUUGUAAACUUCUUUUAGACGGGACAAAACCCCUUUACGUGUAAAGGGUUGAUGGUACUGUCAGAAUAAGCAUCGGCUAACUUCGUACCAGCAGCCGCGGUAAUACGAAGGAUGCAAGCGUUAUCCGGAAUUAUUGGGUUUAAAGGGUGCGUAGGCGGACUAAUAAGUCAGUGGUGAAAGCCUGCAGCUUAACUGCAGAAUUGCCAUUGAUACUGUUAGGCUUGAGUACAGUUGAGGUAGGCGGAAUGUGUCAUGUAGCGGUGAAAUGCUUAGAUAUGACACAGAACACCGAUUGCGAAGGCAGCUUGCUAAGCUGUAACUGACGCUGAGGCACGAAAGCGUGGGGAGCAAACA
This 422-nucleotide ribosomal RNA is filed under the name uncultured bacterium. Its description in RNAcentral is "bacterial SSU rRNA". It matches the Rfam family "Bacterial small subunit ribosomal RNA", at positions 355 to 774 of the family's 1533-position model. The record is from RNAcentral.